Molecule: long non-coding RNA, 291 nt
Organism: Oreochromis niloticus (Nile tilapia)
Lineage: Eukaryota; Metazoa; Chordata; Actinopteri; Cichliformes; Cichlidae
Exons: 3
Source: RefSeq, a predicted model, not a curated record
UUUCAGCACACCUGACAAGUGUCCAGUUUAAAUCAGUGGCAAGUGUGCAUACUGAAAGUGGAGUGGAUGGCUACUCAAGGAAGGUCCUGUACUUGGAUGCAGCAACUAACAACAGGGCAAAAACUGCAUUCUCAUUUUUCCUGAGAUCAGCCCAGCUUCACGGCUUGCCAUCAAGGGUUAGGGCAGAUCAAGGAGUAGAAAACCUGGACAUUGCACAUUUCAUGUUUGCCACAAGAGGAACAGGGAGAGCGAGUUUCAUAUCUGGAAAGAGUGUCCACAAUCAGAGGUUAG